UGAAGGACAUGCUCCUGAAAUGGGUCUCAGAGAAAAGGGAGUAAUUUGUUAGGAAAUCAAGGUUUCUAAGUUUUGGAGAGAUUAAGAAUGUCUUAUAAGCAGAGUAAAUUCUGAAGAACUGUUGGAGAGACGUGGUGCUCCCUGUACAGGAAACCAGUUUAUUUAAAACCAUCCCCUAUG
Molecule: non-coding RNA, 180 nt
Organism: Rattus norvegicus (Norway rat)
Lineage: Eukaryota; Metazoa; Chordata; Mammalia; Rodentia; Muridae
Source: Rfam